RNAcentral lists this long non-coding RNA (245 nucleotides) under Setaria italica (foxtail millet). RNAcentral describes it as "long non-coding RNA (SITA_LNC003094)". Lineage: Eukaryota; Viridiplantae; Streptophyta; Magnoliopsida; Poales; Poaceae. The record is from RNAcentral.
GGGAGGUCUUGCCCCGCAAGAAAAUCCUUUUACAAAUCUUAAUCUACAAGGAUUCCUCAAAUCUACUCGGACUAGGGUUGGACCGGUCAGACCGCCGUACCUUCCGGUCAGUCCGGUCGAUUUUGCCAGAUUGGCUACAGGGUCCCGGACCGGUCAGACCGCCUGGAGAAACCGAUUGGUCCAGCCUGAUUUGGCUUGCUGCCAAUUUCGGACUCCAACACGUCGUUUUGCGAAGUCGUGAGGCG